RNAcentral lists this ribosomal RNA (253 nucleotides) under uncultured bacterium. Its description in RNAcentral is "partial 16S ribosomal RNA". It matches the Rfam family "Bacterial small subunit ribosomal RNA", at positions 524 to 776 of the family's 1533-position model. The record is from RNAcentral.
UACGUAGGGACCAAGCGUUGUUCGGAUUUACUGGGCGUAAAGCGCACGUAGGCGGCUUUGUAAGUUAGAGGUGAAAGCCCAGGGCUCAACCCUGGAAUUGCCUUUAAGACUGCAUCGCUUGAACAUCGGAGAGGUAAGUGGAAUUCCGAGUGUAGAGGUGAAAUUCGUAGAUAUUCGGAAGAACACCAGUGGCGAAGGCGACUUACUGGACGAUUGUUGACGCUGAGGUGCGAAAGCGUGGGGAGCAAACAGG